This 1381-nucleotide small RNA is filed under the name Arabidopsis thaliana (thale cress). RNAcentral describes it as "ATSL288270". Lineage: Eukaryota; Viridiplantae; Streptophyta; Magnoliopsida; Brassicales; Brassicaceae. The record is from RNAcentral.
AUCAUCAUUAUAAAAAAAGAAUUAGACUUUUUCGCAUAUGCCAUAAUUUGAAUUUUUAAAAACGAAUAUAAAUUGUUCAAUACAUGAAAAAAUAUUAUAACGGGUGAAAAAUAGAUUUAAGAAAACUUUCUACUGAGUAACAGGUCAUAAUUUGAAAUAUUUAUAUUCAAUUUCAUACAUAUUAUAUUGAAAAUUUAUAAUCUUAUAUACUACAAUAAUUAAUAACAUAUUAGAUUUUUUUUAUGUGUAUGAUGUGAUUCAAUUUUUAAUACAAGCUGGAAAAUCCUAGAAUUGACGGGUUUAGAUCGAUAUUAAUACAAGAUGGUAUACUACAGGUGAAACUCUUAAAUUAACAAUCAAACUACAAGUGUAUAAUCUUAAACACUAAACAAUAUAGAUAAUAUCAACAAAACAUAUACAACUCACUGUUUACUAUACAUUUAAAAUCAAAUAAAAUAAUAUCAUAUAUUUUUAAAUCAUCUUUACAGUAAAAGUUUUUAGUUUAACUAAAAUAUAAGCCUACAUGCGGUAUACUGCAGGUUAAUAUCUAGAUUAUAGGGCUUAUUGGAUCUAAAAACGGGUCAUCAAAGAUUUCCUAAACUGAAGCAAAAUAUACUGAAUAUUUGAAUAUCUAUCUGUUACCAAAUUAUAAACAAAGAAGUUCGUAAAACAAUUUAAUAAUUUUAUAUACGAAAUCAAUUAAAUCUUAAUCACAGAAAAAUUAGCACAAAAAAAAGUAUUCAACAAUUAAAAAAUUAUCAAAUCUCUGUGUUAUAUAAGUUUUGAUACUAUAUUUGAAUAAAGUGUAAUAUACCUUUUCAAUUUGUAUUCUUCAACUAAUAAAAGCUAACUAAUAUAUUUGCUAAUCUUAUACCUAUCAAAACCGACUAUCGUUUAUUAUCUCUAUAGUAUUUUUGCAAGACUUUUUUUGGUGGAUUUGGGUAAAAGUGCAUUCGGGUCAUAAGGUACAUUCCCCUAAUAAAUAAAUAUAAUGCACUCCUAUGUUAUUAGCUAAAAUGUUUAGAUUAUAAUUCAAAGUCAUAUCAUUAAUAAAAUUAAUAUUAAUAAAAUAAAUGGCUUUUUGGUAAGACGGAUUUGGAGGGACGGGUUUUUGAAUAAACAUUAAUAAAAAAGUAAAAUAUAAUUAAUCCACCGUUUCAAUACGGGUUAAAUCUUUAAUUUAUUAUUUUUUAAAACUACUAAUAUUAAACAUAUCAAAUCAUCCUAAUUUAGAAAAGAUUAUAUAAAACCAAAAAUGUUAUGUGGUAUGUAUAAUGUUACUAUAUAUAAAAUUAAACUAUAAAAUAUAAAUGUAUUAGAGAAUGAUACAAUUUGCAAAACUUUUAUAUAUAAAAAAUAAUUCUUAAAAUUUUAAAAUUAC